This 404-nucleotide ribosomal RNA is filed under the name Actinomycetes bacterium. RNAcentral describes it as "Actinobacteria bacterium partial 16S ribosomal RNA". It matches the Rfam family "Bacterial small subunit ribosomal RNA", at positions 355 to 776 of the family's 1533-position model. The record is from RNAcentral. Lineage: Bacteria; Bacillati; Actinomycetota; Actinomycetes.
UGGGGAAUAUUGGACAAUGGGCGCAAGCCUGAUCCAGCCAUGCCGCGUGAGUGAUGAAGGUCCUAGGGUUGUAAUGCUCUUUCACCGGUGAAGAUAAUGACGGUAACCGGAGAAGAAGCUCCGGCUAACUUCGUGCCAGCAGCCGCGGUAAUACGAAGGGGCCUUGCGUUGUUCGGAUCUACUGGGCGUAAAGCGCACGUAGGUGGACUUUUAAGUCAGGGGUGAAAUCCCUGGGCUCAACCCCGGGACUGCCUUUGAUACUGGGAGUCUUGAGUAUGGUUGAGGUGAGUGGAAUUCCGGGUGUAGAGGUGAAAUUCGUAGAUAUUCGGAGGAACACCAGUGGAGAAGGCGGCUCACUGGACCAUUACUAACGCAGAGGUGCGAAGGCGUGGGGAGCAAACAGG